This 575-nucleotide long non-coding RNA is filed under the name Mytilus galloprovincialis (Mediterranean mussel). Lineage: Eukaryota; Metazoa; Mollusca; Bivalvia; Mytilida; Mytilidae. The record is from RNAcentral.
CCGGUGAAAUCGGCACCUGACAAAGGCACGUCUCUGAAUGAUCGAACCCGUCGAUUGACGGAAGAACGGUUAAUGCAGCCGCUGGCACAGCCGCCACGCAAUUCCACGCGUGACCAAGAUUAUUUUUUUUUGCGUUAAUAAAGGGUAUACAUUACCCUCUUCGGUUAUAAACAGUACACAAAAUGCCUGUACGUGGAUUUGUCAGUUUGGACUGUUGAAGGUUUUAACAACUUUUUUUUUCUUGUUUCCAGAAAUCCGGGAAAUAAUGAGAUUACAUCAAUAGAACAAAAUGCGUUUGAAAGAUUAACAUCUCUCUAAAGACAUUGUUAAAUUGAUACUAUAUUUGGUUGAGGCUCGUUAAUAAAUGUUGGACGACCUUUAAAAUCCAACAUCAAACAUCAACAUCUAGACAUUACAACAUGCCAUGGACAAAGACAGUGUUUCGACAAUUCGAACCGGAAUAUUUACAGUUGAACAUUAUGUUUAUACCUUUCAGACUAAUCACUUUUACAUUUGUUUCCAGUUAAUGAUUUAUUUGUGACUUUAUCAGAAUACACAAUUGUACAUUGAUACUA